Molecule: ribosomal RNA, 281 nt
Filed under: uncultured Bacteroides sp.
Lineage: Bacteria; Pseudomonadati; Bacteroidota; Bacteroidia; Bacteroidales; Bacteroidaceae
Description: partial 16S ribosomal RNA
Rfam family: Bacterial small subunit ribosomal RNA
Source: RNAcentral
AGGGGCAGCAUGAACUUAGCUUGCUAAGUUUGAUGGCGACCGGCGCACGGGUGAGUAACACGUAUCCAACCUGCCGAUGACUCGGGGAUAGCCUUUCGAAAGAAAGAUUAAUACCCGAUGGCAUAGUUCUUCCACAUGGUCGAACUAUUAAAGAAUUUCGGUCAUCGAUGGGGAUGCGUUCCAUUAGAUAGUAGGCGGGGUAACGGCCCACCUAGUCUUCGAUGGAUAGGGGUUCUGAGAGGAAGGUCCCCACAUUGGAACUGAGACACGGUCCAAACUCC